GGGCCCGCACAAGCAGUGGAGUAUGUGGUUUAAUUCGAAGCAACGCGAAGAACCUUACCAAGCCUUGACAUCUCCUGCAUAGCCAAGAAACUGGUGAAACCCUUCGGGGCAGGAAGACAGGUGGUGCAUGGUUGUCGUCAGCUCGUGUCGUGAGAUGUUGGGUUAAGUCCCGCAACGAGCGCAACCCCUGCCGAUAGUUACUACGAGAAGAGGACUCUAUCGGGACUGCCGUUGACAAAACGGAGGAAGGAGGGGAGUGAUGUCAAAUCAUCAUGCCCUUUAUGGCUUGGGCUACACACGUACUACAAUGGCCGCAAACAAUGGGAAUCGAAGGGGCGACCCGGAGGGAAUCCGUUAAAAGCGGUCUCAGUUCGGAUCGCAGGCUGCAACUCGCCUGCGUGAAGUCGGAAUUGCUAGUAAUCGCGGAUCAGCAUGCCG
This 438-nucleotide ribosomal RNA is filed under the name uncultured Bacillota bacterium. RNAcentral's name for it is "bacterial SSU rRNA". It matches the Rfam family "Bacterial small subunit ribosomal RNA", at positions 917 to 1359 of the family's 1533-position model. Lineage: Bacteria; Bacillati; Bacillota. The record is from RNAcentral.